This 103-nucleotide microRNA precursor is filed under the name Marmota monax (woodchuck). Lineage: Eukaryota; Metazoa; Chordata; Mammalia; Rodentia; Sciuridae. The record is from RNAcentral.
AGGAGGUUUGCUGGCUCAUAGGGUGUAGGUAUAGUGAGCUUCGGUAGCUAUGGCCACAUGGUUUUCCAAAGCGCCUGUACCAGUUUGUAUUCCCAUCAGCAAG